Molecule: long non-coding RNA, 1185 nt
Organism: Hydractinia symbiolongicarpus
Lineage: Eukaryota; Metazoa; Cnidaria; Hydrozoa; Anthoathecata; Hydractiniidae
Exons: 4
Source: RefSeq, a predicted model, not a curated record
GUCCCUUGCCGCAUUAGUACCCAGACUACUUUUGAGGGCAUUAAAUUUGAAACAACGUGGGAACUUUCUUCAACUAAGACUUCAUUCACAAGUAAAUUCGUUUGUUUUGGUGAAAAUGCCUGGGGCAAAUUGCUCGAUUUAUGGGUGUAAUGUUUCCAGAAAGACCACAAAUAUCAUCCAUGUGAUAACCAAAAUGCGUGUUGUAGACCAGAAGUUAAAAGUGCAGAUUGAGAAGAGAACAUUACACAUAUGUGAACGUCAUUUUGCAGAAGAUUGCUUACUUCAUCGUAAGUACAAAUGCUUUUUCCCCACAACAUAAUUUUGCAACGUAUACAAAACAAUUUAGAAUUAUUAUUUAAACACAAAUAUGCAUAUUCUACAUAUUCUAUGUUCAACUUUUAGAUGAUACAAAGUGAACGUGGGAGCCUGGCUCAACCUCAACAUUGAACUUGCCACAGAAAAGUGUAGCUUCUUCAACAAGCUCAUCUUCAGAAGAACUAACUUCAAGUUCAUCAAAUGUUUGUAACUUUGGCACCACCCUCUCCUUCUUCACUGAAAAUAAUUCUUGCUUAAUCAUAGCCCAGAAAAUUACCGCACAAAAACAAUUGAUUUGGUGUGCGUACGCGGAAGAUGUACUCUACGAGAACCGCUCCAGCGAAAGGAAACAGUGACGCCAUUAUACAUUAUAACUUAGCAUUGCUUCGCCGCCGUUCAUGAAAAACAAAAAUAUGGAAUUGGGCCCUUCAUCAAAUUAUUCCGAGGAAGAAGUGUCCGCUUUUUAAAUUAUUUUUAUUUUCAUGCGAGAAAAUGUCAUAUAAUAAAAAUUAUGUGUUGUUCUCGUCCGUUAUUAUUUGUCGACGCCGUCUGCGGUGUUUCGACGUACCCUUAGCACAGUAUAUCUCCGUUUCGCACUUUCAAUUCUCUUCAAGCUUGCUAGUACUAAGGUUAUUUUGUGUAUAUUUCUUAAUUCACAAAACUAUUUGAAUAGGCUGUUCAUCACUUGACAAUUCUUGCCGUCUGAAAAAAUCUCAGCGUGGCGGAAUUUUAUAACUUCAAAAUUUUUAAGAGAGAGCAUCUGUUACCUUUCUUGCACUGAACAAAUUCAGGCCAACUUAUGUUGGGUAGAUAAUUUUUUGAUGUAAACAAAAAUGAUAAUAGCGGUUCUCUCAGGAAAACACACUUCAA